RNAcentral lists this long non-coding RNA (200 nucleotides) under Coffea arabica (coffee). RNAcentral's name for it is "long non-coding RNA (CARA_LNC003475)". Lineage: Eukaryota; Viridiplantae; Streptophyta; Magnoliopsida; Gentianales; Rubiaceae. The record is from RNAcentral.
ACGGAUGACGGAGCGACUAGACAGGCAUGAUCGCCGUCUUCGGGCGAUGGAAGAACACUUCAACAUCCGCCGGUCGCCUACUCCGACACCUCAUCAGGAGGAGGGCCAUAUUGGUACCUCACAGGGUCCUCAUGGAGCGGAGGAGGCAAUAGACCCUCGUUCCGAGCAGCCAUGACGCUCCGUAGCGGCUUGGAUCUUUU